UAAUACGUAGGUGGCAAGCGUUGUCCGGAAUUAUUGGGCGUAAAGCGCGCGCAGGCGGCUAUGUAAGUCGGGUGUUAAAGCCCGGGGCUCAACCCCGGUACGCACCCGAAACUGCGUGGCUUGAGUGCAGGAGAGGAAAGCGGUAUUCCACGUGUAGCGGUGAAAUGCGUAGAGAUGUGGAGGAACACCAGUGGCGAAGGCGGCUUUCUGGCCUGUAACUGACGCUGAGGCGCGAAAGCGUGGGGAGCAAACAGGAUUAGAUACCCUGGUAGUCCACGCCGUAAACGAUGAGUGCUAGGUGUUGGGGGUUUUGACACCCUCAGUGCCGCAGCUAACGCAAUAAGCACUCCGCCUGGGGAGUACGCUCGCAAGAGUGAA
This 378-nucleotide ribosomal RNA is filed under the name uncultured bacterium. RNAcentral describes it as "bacterial SSU rRNA". It matches the Rfam family "Bacterial small subunit ribosomal RNA", at positions 521 to 898 of the family's 1533-position model. The record is from RNAcentral.